UCUGUUGCUACCUAUAUAAAAAUUAUUAAUUCAGUAAUAUAUUUAUUAUUACUGAUUUAAAUUAAUGGUGAAAAUGGACAAUAAUAACAGAACGUGCAAUAUUUGCAAUAAAAAAUUUGGUGAAAAGUAUAAUUUACGAGCCCAUAUAAAAAAAUUUCAUCCAGAUAAAUUAGAAGACCUGGCUCCUCUGAAAGCCUAUAAAUGUUCUGCAGUAUGUAAUAGGUGUAAUAAAACUUUCUUAAAAUACUCCAAUCUAAUGCAACAUGUCAGGCAGUUUCAUCCAGAUCAAAUUAAUGAACUUACUAAACCAAAGUCUUAUACUUGUGAUAAAUGUGAUAAACAUUUUUCACAUUUACGGAAUUUUAAUUAUCACCUCACAUUAAAGUGAUACACCUCAAUUUAAGUAAAGAAGAAAAACAGGCACUAGGGGUUUUGAUUGCAUCAAAAGUGUCAUUUGAAAAUAUUUUGGAUCAAGUUAGAGAGUCAGUCAGUGGGACUUUAGAAAGAAGCCACCUUUUAACGAAAAAGGACUUGUUUAACAUUGAAAGAAGUUUGAAUCUAAAUAGUGAAGCACGUAGGCACAGUAAU
Anthonomus grandis grandis is the source of this 588-nucleotide long non-coding RNA. RefSeq lists it as uncharacterized. The record is from RefSeq and is a predicted model, not a curated record. NCBI's taxonomy places the organism in Eukaryota, Metazoa, Arthropoda, Insecta, Coleoptera, Curculionidae. The transcript has 3 exons.